Molecule: non-coding RNA, 92 nt
Organism: Chaetomium strumarium
Lineage: Eukaryota; Fungi; Ascomycota; Sordariomycetes; Sordariales; Chaetomiaceae
Source: the annotation of a RefSeq genome assembly
GGUCGUGUGGCGCAACUGGCAGCGCGUUACUUUCCGGUUCUUAGAUGGUCUCCGACUGGUAAAGGUUCUGGGUUCGAGUCCCAGCAUGAUCG